UACGUAGGGGGCAAGCGUUGUCCGGAAUCAUUGGGCGUAAAGAGCGUGUAGGCGGCCCGAUAAGUCCGCUGUGAAAGUCCAGGGCUCAACCCUGGGAUGCCGGUGGAUACUGUCGGGCUCGAGUCCGGAAGAGGAGUGUGGAAUUCCGGGUGUAGCGGUGAAAUGCGUAGAUAUCCGGAGGAAUACCAGUGGCGAAGGCGGCUUUCUGGUCUGAUUCUGACGCUGAGGAGCGAAAGCCAGGGGAGCGAACGGG
RNAcentral lists this ribosomal RNA (253 nucleotides) under uncultured bacterium. Its description in RNAcentral is "partial 16S ribosomal RNA". It matches the Rfam family "Bacterial small subunit ribosomal RNA", at positions 524 to 776 of the family's 1533-position model. The record is from RNAcentral.